AACGAACGCUGGCGGCAUGCCUAACACAUGCAAGUCGAACGAGACCUUCGGGUCUAGUGGCGCACGGGUGCGUAACGCGUGGGAAUCUGCCCUUGGGUUCGGAAUAACUCGCCGAAAGGCGUGCUAAUACCGGAUGAUGACGUAAGUCCAAAGAUUUAUCGCCCAAGGAUGAGCCCGCGUUGGAUUAGCUAGUUGGUGAGGUAAAGGCUCACCAAGGCGACGAUCCAUAGCUGGUCUGAGGGGAUGAUCAGCCACACUGGGACUGAGACACGGCCCAGACUCCUACGGGAGGCAGCAGUGGGGAAUAUUGGACAAUGGGCGAAAGCCUGAUCCAGCAAUGCCGCGUGAGUGAUGAAGGCCUUAGGGUUGUAAAGCUCUUUUACCCGGGAUGAUAAUGACCGUACCGGGAGAAUAAGCUCCGGCUAACUCCGUG
This 433-nucleotide ribosomal RNA is filed under the name uncultured bacterium. Its description in RNAcentral is "partial 16S ribosomal RNA". It matches the Rfam family "Bacterial small subunit ribosomal RNA", at positions 29 to 507 of the family's 1533-position model. The record is from RNAcentral.